UUAGUUUUGUCAGAGGCCCUUCUACCACAUCCAUAGAUCCAUCCUAGCAGAGGUCACAGAUCACAAAAAGCCUGCAGAAACAGGAAAUCCAACUUCCUGAGUCCACCACAAAACACAGAAACCUGUUUCCUCUACACAUCUCAAAUUGGCAAAGUUCUGUCUUAGCACAUUCAGUAUAGAAGCAGCCAUCCCAAAGGCUUGAAGGAAUUUAUCUUCAAAUUUCACAUGAAUUUUUCUUUGUUGUUUUAAUCUGUUGAGAUGAAGGGCGCAAAAUUAUUUUUCCUGCUUUCAAGUUUAUGGAAUGGGGGCAUUGGGCUUAACAACACUGAGCAUUCUUGGACUACACCUGAGGAUGAAAACUUCCAGAAGAAUGUGGCCUUUUCUUCAGUAAAUAAAAAACAAAAUCUCCGAAUGCAGUCAACUUCUCAGAUCCCAUCUGCUGAGAGAGUUAUAAUACCUGAAGCCAGAACUUCUGAAGAGAAUCCUCUACAAUCCUUGCUGCCUCCCUCUGAGACAAGCAUCCUCCCUGAAGGUACGAGAAACCCAACACUAACACCCACAGGGAAGACAGAAGAAGGGGUGGUGGGGCUUCAAAAUCUUACCCACCCAACUGAGUCCAGCAUCAAGGUCAGCCCUGGAGCAGAGAUGGUCAUUCUUUCUAAUUCCACCCUGAAAUUUCUUCGGAGCUUUGCCAGAAAGUCAAAUGAACAAGACAUCUCUUUAAAUUCAGUUAGAGGCAUGGGAAAUCGAUCGCCAAGAGAAACGUACCUCAGCAGAGGAGACAGACCUCAAAGUCAACGAUCCAGCUAUCAAAAGUCAAGUUUUGAAACAACUAGAGGAAAGUAAGGAACACUUUUUUUAUUUUUUUCUGUGUC
RNAcentral lists this long non-coding RNA (875 nucleotides) under Marmota monax (woodchuck). Lineage: Eukaryota; Metazoa; Chordata; Mammalia; Rodentia; Sciuridae. The record is from RNAcentral.